Danionella cerebrum is the source of this 67-nucleotide non-coding RNA. Lineage: Eukaryota; Metazoa; Chordata; Actinopteri; Cypriniformes; Danionidae. The record is from the annotation of a GenBank genome assembly.
UCCCAGCGGCUCAGUCAGUAGAGAAUUGUGCUAACAACAAAGGUCCUGGGUUCAAACCCCAGAGGAC